UACGGAGGGGACUAGCGUUGUUCGGAAUUACUGGGCGUAAAGCGCUCGUAGGCGGAUUUGUAAGUCAGGGGUGAAAUCCCGGGGCUCAACCUCGGAACUGCCUUUGAUACUGCAAAUCUCGAGUCCGGAAGAGGUGAGUGGAAUUCCUAGUGUAGAGGUGAAAUUCGUAGAUAUUCGGAAGAACACCAGUGGCGAAGGCGGCUCACUGGACCGGCAUUGACGCUGAGGUGCGAAAGCGUGGGGAGCAAACAGG
Molecule: ribosomal RNA, 253 nt
Filed under: uncultured bacterium
Lineage: Bacteria
Description: partial 16S ribosomal RNA
Rfam family: Bacterial small subunit ribosomal RNA
Source: RNAcentral